UGGAUACGCAGCUAUUUUCCGUACAUACAGAUCUUAUACUCUCUUUCUUCCGAAAAGAAUAGGGACGCAAUGCAAAGCUUCAUGGGAAUAAUUGUGAACGCAAGUUCAGUGUUGUACAAUUUUCCUACAUUGAGUUAAAAUAUAAUUCAGAUUCCUUACUCACAAGGCUUUAUGCGGCACAUGUAAAUGAACAGUCAAAUAAUAUGUUCAAGCUUAAAAGUUCUAUAGGUUUUUAUUCCAUAUGAAUGUUAUUUUCCUACAGUAGGAUCGAAGAUAUGAUUCGAAUCUU
RNAcentral lists this long non-coding RNA (289 nucleotides) under Arachis ipaensis. RNAcentral's name for it is "long non-coding RNA (AIPA_LNC001462)". Lineage: Eukaryota; Viridiplantae; Streptophyta; Magnoliopsida; Fabales; Fabaceae. The record is from RNAcentral.